This 557-nucleotide ribosomal RNA is filed under the name uncultured bacterium. RNAcentral describes it as "bacterial SSU rRNA". It matches the Rfam family "Bacterial small subunit ribosomal RNA", at positions 102 to 694 of the family's 1533-position model. The record is from RNAcentral.
ACGGGUGCGUAACGCGUGGGAAUCUGCCCUUUGGUUCGGAAUAACAGCUGGAAACGGCUGCUAAUACCGGAUGAUGACGAAAGUCCAAAGAUUUAUCGCCAGAGGAUGAGCCCGCGUUGGAUUAGGUAGUUGGUGGGGUAAAGGCCUACCAAGCCGACGAUCCAUAGCUGGUCUGAGAGGAUGAUCAGCCACACUGGGACUGAGACACGGCCCAGACUCCUACGGGAGGCAGCAGUGGGGAAUAUUGGACAAUGGGCGAAAGCCUGAUCCAGCAAUGCCGCGUGAGUGAUGAAGGCCCUAGGGUUGUAAAGCUCUUUUACCCGGGAAGAUAAUGACUGUACCGGGAGAAUAAGCCCCGGCUAACUCCGUGCCAGCAGCCGCGGUAAUACGGAGGGGGCUAGCGUUGUUCGGAAUUACUGGGCGUAAGGCGCACGUAGGCGGCUUUGUAAGUCAGAGGUGAAAGCCUGGAGCUCAACUCCAGAACUGCCUUUGAGACUGCAUCGCUUGAAUCCAGGAGAGGUCAGUGGAAUUCCGAGUGUAGAGGUGAAAUUCGUAGA